RNAcentral lists this ribosomal RNA (1030 nucleotides) under Cryobacterium breve. Its description in RNAcentral is "bacterial SSU rRNA". It matches the Rfam family "Bacterial small subunit ribosomal RNA", at positions 67 to 1110 of the family's 1533-position model. The record is from RNAcentral. Lineage: Bacteria; Bacillati; Actinomycetota; Actinomycetes; Micrococcales; Microbacteriaceae.
CGGUGAUGGGGAGCUUGCUUCUCUGAUCAGUGGCGAACGGGUGAGUAACACGUGAGCAAUCUGCCCUUGACUCUGGGAUAAGCGUUGGAAACGACGUCUAAUACCGGAUACGACCUUGGAAGGCAUCUUCUGGGGUGGAAAGAAUUUUGGUCAAGGAUGAGCUCGCGGCCUAUCAGCUAGUUGGUGAGGUAAUGGCUCACCAAGGCGACGACGGGUAGCCGGCCUGAGAGGGUGACCGGCCACACUGGGACUGAGACACGGCCCAGACUCCUACGGGAGGCAGCAGUGGGGAAUAUUGCACAAUGGGCGAAAGCCUGAUGCAGCAACGCCGCGUGAGGGACGACGGCCUUCGGGUUGUAAACCUCUUUUAGUAGGGAAGAAGCGUAACAGUGACGGUACCUGCAGAAAAAGCACCGGCUAACUACGUGCCAGCAGCCGCGGUAAUACGUAGGGUGCAAGCGUUGUCCGGAAUUAUUGGGCGUAAAGAGCUCGUAGGCGGUUUGUCGCGUCUGCUGUGAAAACCCGAGGCUCAACCUCGGGCCUGCAGUGGGUACGGGCAGACUAGAGUGCGGUAGGGGAGAUUGGAAUUCCUGGUGUAGCGGUGGAAUGCGCAGAUAUCAGGAGGAACACCAAUGGCGAAGGCAGAUCUCUGGGCCGUAACUGACGCUGAGGAGCGAAAGCAUGGGGAGCGAACAGGAUUAGAUACCCUGGUAGUCCAUGCCGUAAACGUUGGGAACUAGAUGUGGGGACCAUUCCACGGUCUCCGUGUCGCAGCUAACGCAUUAAGUUCCCCGCCUGGGGAGUACGGCCGCAAGGCUAAAACUCAAAGGAAUUGACGGGGGCCCGCACAAGCGGCGGAGCAUGCGGAUUAAUUCGAUGCAACGCGAAGAACCUUACCAAGGCUUGACAUAUAGAGGAAACGGCUGGAAACAGUCGCCCCGCAAGGUCUCUAUACAGGUGGUGCAUGGUUGUCGUCAGCUCGUGUCGUGAGAUGUUGGGUUAAGUCCCGCAACGAGCGCAACCCUCGUCC